RNAcentral lists this ribosomal RNA (467 nucleotides) under uncultured bacterium. RNAcentral describes it as "partial 16S ribosomal RNA". It matches the Rfam family "Bacterial small subunit ribosomal RNA", at positions 28 to 507 of the family's 1533-position model. The record is from RNAcentral.
GAUGAACGCUGACAGAAUGCUUAACACAUGCAAGUCGACUUGAAUUUGGGUUUUUAACUUAGGUUUGGGUGGCGGACGGGUGAGUAACGCGUAAAGAACUUGCCUCACAGCUAGGGACAACAUUUGGAAACGAAUGCUAAUACCUAAUAUUAUGAUAAUAGAGCAUCCUAUAAUUAUGAAAGCUAUAAGCGCUGUGAGAGAGCUUUGCGUCCCAUUAGCUAGUUGGAGAGGUAACGGCUCACCAAGGAGAUGAUGGGUAGCCGGCCUGAGAGGGUGAUCGGCCACAAGGGGACUGAGACACGGCCAUUACUCCUACGGGAGGCAGCAGUGGGGAAUAUUGGACAAUGGACCGAGAGUCUGAUCCAGCAAUUCUGUGUGCACGAUGAAGUUUUUCGGAAUGUAAAGUGCUUUCAGUUGGGAAGAAACAAAUGACGGUACCAACAGAAGAAGUGACGGCUAAAUACGUG